UACGAAGGGGGCUAGCGUUGCUCGGAAUUACUGGGCGUAAAGGGCGCGUAGGCGGCCUGCUAAGUCGAACGUGAAAUCCCCGAGCUCAACUCGGGAACUGCGUCCGAUACUGACAGGCUUGAAUCCGGGAGAGGGAUGCGGAAUUCCAGGUGUAGCGGUGAAAUGCGUAGAUAUCUGGAGGAACACCGGUGGCGAAGGCGGCAUCCUGGACCGGCAUUGACGCUGAGGCGCGAAAGCUAGGGGAGCAAACGGG
This 253-nucleotide ribosomal RNA is filed under the name uncultured bacterium. RNAcentral describes it as "partial 16S ribosomal RNA". It matches the Rfam family "Bacterial small subunit ribosomal RNA", at positions 524 to 776 of the family's 1533-position model. The record is from RNAcentral.